AACGAACGCUGGCGGCAUGCCUAACACAUGCAAGUCGAACGAACCCUUCGGGGUUAGUGGCGCACGGGUUCGUAACGCGUGGGAAUCUGCCCUUUGCUUCGGAAUAACUCAGGGAAACUUGUGCUAAUACCGGAUGAUGUCUUCGGACCAAAGAUUUAUCGGCAAGGGAUGAGCCCGCGUAGGAUUAGGUAGUUGGUGGGGUAAAGGCCUACCAAGCCGACGAUCCUUAGCUGGUCUGAGAGGAUGAUCAGCCACACUGGGACUGAGACACGGCCCAGACUCUUCCGGGAGGCAGCAGUGGGGAAUAUUGGACAAUGGGCGCAAGCCUGGUGCAGCAAUGCCGCGUGAGUGAUGAAGGCCGUCGGGUCGUAAAGCUCUUUUACCAGGGAUGAUAAUGACAGUACCUGGAGAAUAAGCUCCGGCUAACUCCGUG
Molecule: ribosomal RNA, 433 nt
Filed under: uncultured bacterium
Lineage: Bacteria
Description: partial 16S ribosomal RNA
Rfam family: Bacterial small subunit ribosomal RNA
Source: RNAcentral